GACGAACGCUGGCGGCGUGCUUAACACAUGCAAGUCGAACGGAAAGUCCUCUUUCGGGGGGUACUCGAUUGGCGAACGGGUGAGUAACACGUGAGUAACCGGCCCUUGACUGUGGGAUAACUUCAGGAAACUGGGGCUAAUACCGGAUAGGAGCUCCUGCUGCAUGGGGGGGGUUGGAAAGUUUCAGAGGUUGCGGAUGGAGUCGCGGCUUAUCAGGUGGUUGGUGGGGUAGUGGCUUAGCACGGCUUUGACGGGUAGCCGGCCGGAGAGGGUGACCGGCCACAUUCGGACUGAGACAGGGACCAGACUCAUACGGCAGCCAGAAGCAGGGAAUAUGGAAAAAUGGGUGUGAGCCUGAGGCAGAAACGCCGAGUGCGGGAUGACGGUCAAGGCGUUGUAAUCCGAUUUCGCUCAUGCCGAAGAUUUGUGUGACGGUAGUGGGUAAAGAAGCACCGGCUAACUCCGUG
RNAcentral lists this ribosomal RNA (467 nucleotides) under uncultured bacterium. RNAcentral's name for it is "partial 16S ribosomal RNA". It matches the Rfam family "Bacterial small subunit ribosomal RNA", at positions 28 to 507 of the family's 1533-position model. The record is from RNAcentral.